AAAGUCUUUGAGUUCACUUGCUAAAUUUGGAAUGAUAUAGAGAUUCUCAUGGCCCCUAUGCAAGGAUGACAUGCAAAUUAAUGAAGUAGUCUAUAUUUUA
Rattus norvegicus (Norway rat) is the source of this 100-nucleotide small nuclear RNA. NCBI's taxonomy places the organism in Eukaryota, Metazoa, Chordata, Mammalia, Rodentia, Muridae. The record is from Ensembl.